CCGCACUCAAAACCGCACCGCAAC
This 24-nucleotide non-coding RNA is filed under the name Arabidopsis thaliana (thale cress). Lineage: Eukaryota; Viridiplantae; Streptophyta; Magnoliopsida; Brassicales; Brassicaceae. The record is from RNAcentral.